RNAcentral lists this ribosomal RNA (432 nucleotides) under uncultured bacterium. RNAcentral describes it as "partial 16S ribosomal RNA". It matches the Rfam family "Bacterial small subunit ribosomal RNA", at positions 338 to 795 of the family's 1533-position model. The record is from RNAcentral.
CCUACGGGUGGCAGCAGUCGAGAAUUUUUCUCAAUGGGGGAAACCCUGAAGGAGCGACGCCGCGUGGAGGAUGAAGGUCUUCGGGUUGUAAACUCCUGUCAUUUGGGAACUAGUACCAGAAGAGGAAGAGACGGCUAACUCUGUGCCAGCAGCCGCGGUAAUACAGAGGUCUCAAGCGUUGUUCGGAUUCAUUGGGCGUAAAGGGUGCGUAGGUGGCGCGGUAAGUCGGGUGUGAAAUUUCGGAGCUUAACUCCGAAACUGCAUUCGAUACUGCCGUGCUUGAGGACUGGAGAGGAGACUGGAAUUUACGGUGUAGCAGUGAAAUGCGUAGAUAUCGUAAGGAAGACCAGUGGCGAAGGCGGGUCUCUGGACAGUCCUGACACUGAGGCACGAAGGCCAGGGGAGCAAACGGGAUUAGAUACCCUUGUAGUC